UACAUAGCUUAAUGAGGGGAACUCAGGGAACUGAAACAUCUAAGUACCUGAAGGAAGAGAAAGAAAUUCGAUUCCGUAAGUAGCGGCGAGCGAACGCGGAUUAGCCCAAACCAAUAAAGUUUUCUUUAUUGGGGUUGCGGACAUAUCAUAACGAAGAGGUAUCGUAAUUGAAGAGGUUUGGAAAGACCCACCACAGAAGGUAAUAGUCCUGUAUGUUAAACGAGAAGACUUUAGAUAUGAUCCAGAGUACCACGGGACACGUGAAACCCUGUGGGAAGCAGGAGGGACCACCCUCCAAGGCUAAAUACUACCUAGUGACCGAUAGCGUAUAGUACCGUGAGGGCAAGGUGAAAAGAACCCCGGGAGGGGAGUGAAAUAGAACCUGAAACCCUGCACUUACAAGCUGUGGAAGCACAUUUCUUGUGUGACCGCGUACUUUUUGUAGAACGGGCCAACGAGUUACGUUAAGUAGCAAGGUUAAGCACUUAAGGUGCGGAGCCGUAGCGAAAGCGAGUUUUAACUGAGCGUUCAGUUACUUGACGUAGACCCGAAACCGGGCGACCUACCCAUGAGCAGGAUGAAGCGAAAGUAAAAUUUCGUGGAGGUCCGAACCCACGAGCGUUGAAAAGCUCGGGGAUGACUUGUGGGUAGCGGUGAAAUUCCAAUCGAGCCCGGAGAUAGCUGGUUCUCCCCGAAAUAGCUUUAGGGCUAGCCUCAAGGUGAGAGAUACGGAGGUAGAGCACUGAAUGUCCUAGGGGGUAUUGCACCUACCGAAGACUAUCAAACUCCGAAUGCCGUCAUCUUAUACUUGGGAGUCAGACUGUGGGUGAUAAGAUUCAUAGUCGAAAGGGCAACAGCCCAGAUCGUCAGCUAAGGUCCCUAAAUGUAAGUUAAGUGGUAAAGGAUGUGGGAUUGCACAGACAACCAGGAUGUUGGCUUAGAAGCAGCCACUCAUUCAAAGAGUGCGUAAUAGCUCACUGGUCGAGUGAUCCUGCGCCGAAGAUUUCCGGGGCUAAAACUUACUACCGAAGCUACGGCAUCAGUAAUGA
RNAcentral lists this ribosomal RNA (1049 nucleotides) under Clostridioides difficile. RNAcentral's name for it is "bacterial LSU rRNA". It matches the Rfam family "Bacterial large subunit ribosomal RNA", at positions 163 to 1217 of the family's 2925-position model. The record is from RNAcentral. Lineage: Bacteria; Bacillati; Bacillota; Clostridia; Peptostreptococcales; Peptostreptococcaceae.